ACACGGACGUAUAACUUUAUACAUGGUAAAUCGAUGA
RNAcentral lists this unclassified non-coding RNA (37 nucleotides) under Phytomonas serpens. Lineage: Eukaryota; Euglenozoa; Kinetoplastea; Trypanosomatida; Trypanosomatidae. The record is from RNAcentral.